GGGCGAAGCCUGAUCCGCAUGCCGCGUGCAGGAUGAAGGCCUUCGGGUUGUAACUGGUUUUGUACGGAACAAAACCGUCUGUCCUGUACGGUCGGUGUCAGGACGGUACCAAUAAGAGUAAGCACCGGUUAACUACAUGCCACCCGCCGCUGUAAU
RNAcentral lists this ribosomal RNA (156 nucleotides) under uncultured bacterium. RNAcentral describes it as "partial 16S ribosomal RNA". The record is from RNAcentral.